UGCAGUCGACGGCAGCACGGGAGCAAUCCUGGUGGCGAGUGGCGAACGGGUGAGUAAUAUAUCGGAACGUGCCCAGUCGUGGGGGAUAACGUAGCGAAAGCUACGCUAAUACCGCAUACGAUCUAUGGAUGAAAGCGGGGGAUCGCAAGACCUCGCGCGAUUGGAGCGGCCGAUAUCAGAUUAGGUAGUUGGUGAGGUAAAGGCUCACCAAGCCGACGAUCUGUAGCUGGUCUGAGAGGACGACCAGCCACACUGGGACUGAGACACGGCCCAGACUCCUACGGGAGGCAGCAGUGGGGAAUUUUGGACAAUGGGCGCAAGCCUGAUCCAGCAAUGCCGCGUGCAGGAUGAAGGCCUUCGGGUUGUAAACUGCUUUUGUACGGAGCGAAAAGGCUUCCACUAAUACUGGGGGCUCAUGACGGUACCGUAAGAAUAAGCACCGGCUAACUACGUGCCAGCAGCCGCGGUAAUACGUAGGGUGCAAGCGUUAAUCGGAAUUACUGGGCGUAAAGCGUGCGCAGGCGGUUCGGAAGAAAGGUGUGAAAUCCCAGGGCUUAACCUUGGAACUGCACUUUUAACUACCGAGCUAGAGUACGUCAGAGGGGGGUAGAAUUCC
RNAcentral lists this ribosomal RNA (616 nucleotides) under uncultured bacterium. RNAcentral's name for it is "bacterial SSU rRNA". It matches the Rfam family "Bacterial small subunit ribosomal RNA", at positions 56 to 670 of the family's 1533-position model. The record is from RNAcentral.